UCAGAGGGGGCCCUGGGAGGUGCCUUCCCACCUCCACCUCCCCCGUUGAUCGAAGAACCAUUCCCCCCUGCUCCUCUGGAGGAGGACAUCUUCCCCUCCCCUCCACCUCCACUGGAGGAGGAGGGAGGACCUGAGGCCCCUACCCAGCUCCCACCGCAGGUGUCAUCUGGAUAUGUACCUCCACCAGUUGCUACUCCAUUUGUUCCCAAACCUAGUACCAAGCCUGCCCCUGUGGGCACAGCACCCUUACCUCCUUGGAAGGCCCCUUCUAGCUCUCAGCCACCACCUCAGCCGCAGGCCAAGCCUCAGGUCCAGCUCCAUGCCCAGCCUCAGGCCAAGCCCCAUGUCCAACCCCAGUCUGUGUCUUCCGCUAAUACACAGCCCCGAGGUCCCCUUUCUCAGGCUCCAACUCCAGCACCUAAGUUUGCUCCAGUGGCACCUAAAUUUACUCCCGUGGCUUCCAAAUUCAGCCCUGGUGCUCCAAGUGGACCUGGGCCACAGCCCAGUCAAAAAUCGGUGCCUCUGGAAGCUCCUUCUUCUGUGGGCACAGGCUCCCCCCAGCCCCCUAGCUUCACCUAUGCUCAGCAGAAGGAGAAGCCCCUAGUUCAAGAGAAGCAGCACCCACUGCCUCCACCAGCUCAAAACCAAAACCAGGUACGUUCUCCUGGAGGCCCAGGCCCCUUGACCCUGAAGGAGGUGGAAGAGUUGGAGCAGCUGACCCAGCAGCUGAUGCAGGACA
RNAcentral lists this long non-coding RNA (739 nucleotides) under Rattus norvegicus (Norway rat). RNAcentral's name for it is "long non-coding RNA NONRATT020414". Lineage: Eukaryota; Metazoa; Chordata; Mammalia; Rodentia; Muridae. The record is from RNAcentral.